Molecule: non-coding RNA, 360 nt
Organism: Cyprinodon variegatus (sheepshead minnow)
Lineage: Eukaryota; Metazoa; Chordata; Actinopteri; Cyprinodontiformes; Cyprinodontidae
Source: the annotation of a RefSeq genome assembly
AUGAUGAUGUUACUGACUCUACUGCUGACCAUCCUGGAGCUCCUGGUUCAGGGUUCUUCAGGAGACAUCGUCCUGAAUCAGACUCCUGCAGCUCAGUCUGCUGUUCAGGGACAGACCGUCUCCAUCAGAUGUAAAUCUGACAGAAGUAUAGGUGAUGACAUCAACUGGUACCUGCAGAAACCUGGAGGAGCUCCAAAACUCCUGUUUUAUGAUACCACAGAGCGUCAGUCUGGAGUCCCUGAAAGGUUUCGUGCAACAGCACAACAGACUGACUUCACACUGAUAAUCAUUGGAGUUCAGGCUGAGGAUGGAGGAGUUUACUAUUGUCAGCAGCGUAACAGCCUCCCAUUCACACAGUGA